Molecule: ribosomal RNA, 501 nt
Filed under: uncultured bacterium
Lineage: Bacteria
Description: partial 16S ribosomal RNA
Rfam family: Bacterial small subunit ribosomal RNA
Source: RNAcentral
AUUGAACGCUGGCGGCAUGCCUUACACAUGCAAGUCGAACGGCAGCACGGGUGCUUGCACCUGGUGGCGAGUGGCGAACGGGUGAGUAAUACAUCGGAACGUACCUUAUCGUGGGGGAUAACGCAGCGAAAGCUGUGCUAAUACCGCAUACGCCCUGAGGGGGAAAGCGAGGGAUCGCAAGACCUCGCGCGAUUAGAGCGGCCGAUGCCUGAUUAGCUUGUUGGUGGGGUAAAAGCCCACCAAGGCGACGAUCAGUAGCUGGACUGAGAGGACGAUCAACCACACUGGGACUGAGACACGGCCCAGACUCCUACGGGAGGCAGCAGUGGGGAAUUUUGGACAAUGGGGGCAACCCUGAUCCAGCAAUGCCGCGUGAGUGAAGAAGGCCUUCGGGUUGUAAAGCUCUUUUGUCAGGGAAGAAACACCGGCUCUAACACAGUCUGGGAAUGACGGUACCUGAAGAAUAAGCACCGGCUAACUACGUGCCAGCAGCCGCCGUAA